Molecule: long non-coding RNA, 3030 nt
Organism: Leopardus geoffroyi (Geoffroy's cat)
Lineage: Eukaryota; Metazoa; Chordata; Mammalia; Carnivora; Felidae
Exons: 2
Source: RefSeq, a predicted model, not a curated record
AGCAUAAUCUAUAGAGAAGUUGAAUCACUAUGUUGUACACCUGAAACUAAUAUGACAUUGUGUGUCGACUCUGAUAAGAAAAUAAUCAUAAGUAAUGAAACCUUGAGCGAAUAUGCAAAUGGACGAAUUGAACAAGGAAUAUUUAAUUCCCCCCUUUUUCAUGAAAGGGAAAUGAGGUUCAACGUGAAGACACCUGGCCACCCUCACGUGAGCUAGGAGGUAUAGGGCAGGCGUCUAGAACCAUGUCCAUCUGACCCUGAUCUCCUUUCCCUCCUUCCUGCUUCCUCCUUUUCACCAUCUGUCCCCAUUUUACACUAACGAGCAUCACAGGGGGAAGGUGUGGGUUGCGGUCGCUGACCCUACAGUCAGUCUCCUGUUGGAUGCCCAGCCCUGCUGUCCCAUUCACUGGGGCAAUGACACAAAUCCCUGCUCUGGGUAGAGCAGCAUGCCAGACCUUGUGGUGUGGGAGAUGCACAGGACAGAGAGCAUGACCUCGGAUCGCCUCCUUCCAGUGUCACCGUAGGGUGGACACAAGUUUGUGACUGAAAUACUAGAGAAGCCAUCAUGGGUGUUGAGAGAGAAGGAAAGAGUGAAGCAGAAGACAGGCCAGAUUCCUUUGGAAGACUUGGGACAUCCUUUGUCGAGAAGACCUUGGAAAGUGAAUACACUUUUGUUGGGUAGAGUAUAAGGGAAAGUUGGGGCAUUCCAGAUGGGCUUCCGCAAUCCUUCUCCAGCAUGAAUUCCACAGUCCGUGUUGCACAAUGUCUGUGUCCUGGGCCCUUGGCUGGGGUGGGGACGAAAUAAAUAGAUGCAGAGUGUUUCAGGAAAUGUCAGGAAAGUCCAGUUGGUCUGUACUCUGUAGAGUAUGACUAGGUGGCCAGAGAGGAAAUAAGCCUGGGCAGUUGGUGAGGAUCAGAUUUUUGCGAGUUUUAAAUGCCAGUCUAGAGGGUGUUUGUUACAGUCUAUGGCCAAUGAGGAGCUGUGGGAGGUUCUGAGCCAAGCAGUGACCUGACCAGAGCUGUGCAUUAUUUAGAACUAUCCCCUCGGCAACACAUACCUGAUGGACGGGAGAGCCCACGGGCAGUGAGAGGCAGGCUAAGCUCAGUGGUGCCGGUAUUUACCAGAAUGAAAGUGGAGAGCGACUUAACCCCCGAGCCAGAGUUGGCUGACCCCGAUGCUACAUAAUCUCCACCAUCUCUUCCAGCGUUGACAUGACACUGCAACAGUGACACCGAAAUGCCUAGUCCUUAGCUCGUCGUUGUAACUACAAGGGGAAUUUACUUCGAAUAUGAUACACAAGAUGCACUGGAAAGAUUGACACAGAAAGGCCUAUACAAAGUUGUCUCCAGUCUUUGUGCCAUCGUCAUCGUCAGCACACCCCAUAAUUCACACUCUCCCCAAGGGACCACUUAAUGCCAGGCUGCCCAGGCUGCCCUGGGAUCUGUUCAGUAGCCGGCUCUUGGGCUAUAGAGAACGAUACUGGGAAAAGACACUCAGGGUGGUACUCCACACCCCUGCUUCCUGUCCAGAACGGAGUCUCCUCCUGCUUUGCUCCCCAUUCACACUUCCUACUCAAAGCCCCCGUUCCCUUGUAAGGAAAUACCGUAGCCAGGUGUCUGUUCAGUUACCAUCCCUCCCUCUGAUUCUUUCCCACCAAUUCCAUGCUGGGGCAUGUAAUGGUUGUCAGCUGUAGUGUUCUGCGGCUCCCCCAGGUGACGACAUGUGACCUAGACUGGCCAAUCAGAGUUUCCCAUCUACCUUGGCCGCAAAGAUUGCUCAUCAGUGGACAUUAGACCCAAGAAAAGCCAACCAGAGUAUUCCUUGAAGUUGAGCAGGGAGCCAUUGGGAAGGAGAAAUAUUCGUUUCGUUGAGGUUGCUGAGCUGAGGAGAUUCUGGGAGGGCCCAGGGAUUCCAGUGGCCAUUCUUAUCCAGUGUGUGGGAGGAAGAAGCUGUCUGAAAAAUAAAGUCAUAGCUCUGACCAUACAGUAAGGCCCCCGAAUCUAGCCAGACCUGAAGUCAGAGGCUACCUACCACUCCCCAGCCCCCAGACCUCCCAGUUGGAAGGACCAACAAAUUCACUUUUUGCUUAAACUACACUUCAGCGGGGUUUCUGUAAAUUACAACAGAAAGGAUCCUAACUAGGGCACUUCUUUUUUAACCAUUCUUCCUUUUGGCAACUAUCUCCUAUAAUUAUUCCCAUUUAUCAAAAUCCUAGUCAUCUGUAAGCUAAAAGACUCUUCCAGUCCAGCCUCCUCUCAUCCACCCCUGAAGUGAUUUCAUUCCUUCUUCUCAAGUCCCUGGCCCUUGAUUUAAAACAUUCUUAUGGUCACAGGUCAUUUGCUGGAGAUCAACAUGGUUUCUUCAUGCGCAUUUCCUAGCACUCUUCUUAGCGUAUAAGCUCCUUGAGGAGAGGAGCCAUAAGUCAGAUGUCCAUAGGAUAGAUUUCCUCCCCAACUUCAUGCUACAGACCAGGAGGGAGCCGGAGAGUUACUGCUGGAGCUUAUAAAUCCAUGCGUGCGCUAAGCCUCAAAUGCAUAAUAUUCUGUCAAAUCUACAUGCUGGAGAAAAUUCAGUAUGGCCAGAAGCUACCGUAACUAUUACUUAAAUGUAAUACUAAUAUAGAGAGGCUAGCAAAUACUUGGGGCAUUCAAAACAAGUCCUCAAGUGAUCUGAAUGUUAUUACAUGGAUGUACACGUAUGUGGAAACCUUUUGAGUUUUACACUUAAGAUGUGUGCACUUUAGGCAAGUUAUGCCGCCAUUCAAAGUCAAAACUGAAAUAAAAAUACAGGAGUCCUCAUAGUUGACAAAUCUGUCCAUCACUAGUCAAUACACAAAAAAUUAAUUUGAAAUGCAUCAGAGACCUAAAUAAACUGAAAGCUAAAACUAUACAGGUCCUAGAAGAAAAUAUAAGAGAAUAGCUUAUGCCCCUGAGGUAGGCAAUGACUCCUUAGAACCCUAAAAGCAGCAAAAAAAAAAAAAAAAAAAAUAGGCAAGAAAUUCUAACAGACGCUUCACAAAAUAACAUAUAC